RNAcentral lists this ribosomal RNA (465 nucleotides) under uncultured Klebsiella sp. Its description in RNAcentral is "bacterial SSU rRNA". It matches the Rfam family "Bacterial small subunit ribosomal RNA", at positions 338 to 795 of the family's 1533-position model. The record is from RNAcentral. Lineage: Bacteria; Pseudomonadati; Pseudomonadota; Gammaproteobacteria; Enterobacterales; Enterobacteriaceae.
CCUACGGGUGGCAGCAGUGGGGAAUAUUGCACAAUGGGCGCAAGCCUGAUGCAGCCAUGCCGUGUGUGUGAAGAAGGCCUUCGGGUUGUAAAGCACUUUCAGCGGGGAGGAAGGCGUUAAGGUUAAUAACCUUGUCGAUUGACGUUACCCGCAGAAGAAGCACCGGCUAACUCCGUGCCAGCAGCCGCGGUAAUACGGAGGGUGCAAGCGUUAAUCGGAAUUACUGGGCGUAAAGCGCACGCAGGCGGUCUGUCAAGUCGGAUGUGAAAUCCCCAGGCUCAACCUGGGAACUGCAUUCGAAACUGGCAGGCUAGAGUCUUGUAGAGGGGGGUAGAAUUCCAGGUGUAGCGGUGAAAUGCGUAGAGAUCUGGAGGAAUACCGGUGGCGAAGGCGGCCCCCUGGACAAAGACUGACGCUCAGGUGCGAAAGCGUGGGGAGCAAACAGGAUUAGAUACCCGAGUAGUC